UGACGAGUUUACAUGGUACUCACUUACUUGAAUAUUGAUUCAUGUAAAAUGUAUGGUGUCUGAGACAAGAAAUCCAGAACAAACUCUACAGCAACCCAGGUAUUCAAUUCAUAACCCUUGUACAACAUUGAUUAAGGAGCAUGAAUGUAAGAAUGUUCCGGAUGCAGUUGAGGGCGAAACUGAGACAGGUACAAGAAAGGUCGUCAUAAGAAGUUCUUACUUUCAGCAUAAGUCUGAAAACCAGAAGGACCCAAACAAUAUACAAGAGAAGGUCAAGGCUGAUGAUGUCGUUGAUACAUAUGAGAAUAACAUACCCGAGGAUGCUUUUUUCAGAAAUAAUGAUAUUAAGGACAAAGUCAUGAAACGGAAGACCUCGUCAAAUGACUGGUCUCAAAAAGUGGUCACUCUGUUCCUGACUUCAGCAAAACAUCUACAGAGACAAAAGCUGCAGAAGGAAAGUUUGGAUCCAACAUUUCCCAUUUAAACCGUUAUUCUGAAAUAGCAGAAAAAUCAAUGGAAAAAUUCAUUUCAGUAAUAUCAUCAUUUAGAUGCUCCUCAUCUGGUUCUCGCGCCAGUGGUUUCAGUGGUCUCCGUGCUUCUCUAAAAGAUGUUCGGAAUACUUGUACCAAUAGGCCAACCAUUGGCAGAAGACUUUAGCCAAUUUGCAUAUGUACCGAAGACCCGGAAAACUGAAUUAGCAUCUCGCAGAGGUUGAAUUUGGAUUGUGUUUUGCAUAAUGUUUUUCGCCGGGAUCCAUCUCAGUUGCAACAGGAGCUUUAAACUCAAUUUGUUUAUCUAUCUACUAUUGCUGUUUUCUUCUAUUUUUAUUGAUUACUAUUUCCUUCUGUUUAGGGCUCACUUGCCUCAAGGACUAGUUGAAAAUUACUGGAGGUUUGGUUACACUGCCACCUGCCUGAUUGAUGUGUUUGUGUUUUUUAAUCAUAUUUUUGUAAUUUUAAACGUUUCUCUUGCUCUUGUGCUUUAAUUUGUGCAAAAUUAUUUCUAAUUGAAACAAUACAAAAUUAAGUUGAUUUCU
This is a long non-coding RNA of Corylus avellana, 1036 nucleotides long. RefSeq lists it as uncharacterized. The record is from RefSeq and is a predicted model, not a curated record. Lineage: Eukaryota; Viridiplantae; Streptophyta; Magnoliopsida; Fagales; Betulaceae.